GUUUGAAGAAGACAUGGACCAAAAUUAGGUAUAAAAGUAUUGCCAGUGAAUUGAUCUGAAGCAACAACAAAGCAAAGCCAGAGCGAUUUGAAGUUGAAAAUGGCGGACCAAAGAAUCUCAUGGCCAGAACUGGUGUUUGUUGAUGCAAGUGUUGUGAGCAACAUCAUAAAGAAAAAUCAUCCUGAGUUCGAGAUCGUUGUGCUGUUAGCAGGAACUCCAACCACAAGAGAUUUGAGGCUCGAUCGAGUUCGACUUUUUGUUAACAUAAACAGUGUUGUAGUUGAAACUCCCAUCAAUGGUUGAAAUGUGUUGAGAACACCUUUGUUUGAGACAAUAUUUAAAUAAAAACUAGAAUCUAUUCUAGUCUUCUACUA
Molecule: long non-coding RNA, 374 nt
Organism: Momordica charantia (bitter melon)
Lineage: Eukaryota; Viridiplantae; Streptophyta; Magnoliopsida; Cucurbitales; Cucurbitaceae
Source: RefSeq, a predicted model, not a curated record